Molecule: transfer RNA, 81 nt
Organism: Talaromyces stipitatus ATCC 10500
Lineage: Eukaryota; Fungi; Ascomycota; Eurotiomycetes; Eurotiales; Trichocomaceae
Rfam family: tRNA
About the family: Transfer RNA (tRNA) molecules are approximately 80 nucleotides in length. Their secondary structure includes four short double-helical elements and three loops (D, anti-codon, and T loops). Further hydrogen bonds mediate the characteristic L-shaped molecular structure. tRNAs have two regions of fundamental functional importance: the anti-codon, which is responsible for specific mRNA codon recognition, and the 3' end, to which the tRNAs corresponding amino acid is attached (by aminoacyl-tRNA synthetases). tRNAs cope with the degeneracy of the genetic code in two manners: having more than one tRNA (with a specific anti-codon) for a particular amino acid; and 'wobble' base-pairing, i.e. permitting non-standard base-pairing at the 3rd anti-codon position.
Source: Rfam
GGCAGCGUGACUGAGUGGUUAAAGUGAUUGACUAGAAAUCAAUUGGGUUCGCCCGCGCAUGUUCGAAUCAUGCCGCUGUCG